This 253-nucleotide ribosomal RNA is filed under the name uncultured bacterium. RNAcentral's name for it is "partial 16S ribosomal RNA". It matches the Rfam family "Bacterial small subunit ribosomal RNA", at positions 524 to 776 of the family's 1533-position model. The record is from RNAcentral.
UACGUAGGGUGCAAGCGUUAAUCGGAAUUACUGGGCGUAAAGCGUGCGCAGGCGGUUUUUCAAGUCUGUCGUGAAAGCUCCGGGCUCAACCUGGGAAUUGCGAUGGAGACUGCAAGGCUUGAAUCUGGCAGAGGGGGGUAGAAUUCCACGUGUAGCAGUGAAAUGCGUAGAGAUGUGGAGGAACACCGAUGGCGAAGGCAGCCCCCUGGGUCAAGAUUGACGCUCAUGCACGAAAGCGUGGGGAGCAAACAGG